GAUGAACGCUGGCGGCGUGCCUAAUACAUGCAAGUCGAGCGAACGGACGAGAAGCUUGCUUCUCUGAUGUUAUCGGCGGACGGGUGAGUAACACGUGGAUAACCUACCUAUAAGACUGGGAUAACUUCGGGAAACCGGAGCUAAUACCGGAUGAUAUUUUGAACCGCAUUGUUCAAAAGUGAAAGACGGUCUUGCUGUCACUUAUAGAUUGAUCCGCGCUGCAUUCGCUAGUUGGUAAGGUAACGGCUUACCAAGGCAACGAUGCAUAGCCGACCUGAGAGGGAGAUUGGCCACACGGGCACUGAGAAACGGUCCAGACUCCGAGGGGAGGCAGCAGUAGGGAAUCUUCCGCAAUGGGCGAAAGCCGGACGGAGCAACGCCGCGUGAGUGAUGAAGGUCUUCGGAUCGUAAAACUCUGUUAUUAGGGAAGAACAUAUGUGUAAGUAACUGUGCACAUCUUGACGGUACCUAAUCAGAAAGCCACGGCUAACUACGUG
This 497-nucleotide ribosomal RNA is filed under the name uncultured bacterium. RNAcentral describes it as "partial 16S ribosomal RNA". It matches the Rfam family "Bacterial small subunit ribosomal RNA", at positions 28 to 507 of the family's 1533-position model. The record is from RNAcentral.